RNAcentral lists this ribosomal RNA (251 nucleotides) under uncultured prokaryote. Its description in RNAcentral is "partial 16S ribosomal RNA". It matches the Rfam family "Bacterial small subunit ribosomal RNA", at positions 524 to 774 of the family's 1533-position model. The record is from RNAcentral.
UACGUAGGGGGCAAGCGUUGUCCGGAAUUAUUGGGCGUAAAGCGCGCGCAGGCGGUCUCUUAAGUCUGAUGUGAAAUCUCGCAGCUUAACUGUGAGCGGUCAUUGGAAACUGAGGGACUUGAGGACAGGUGAGGAGAGUGGAAUUCCACGUGUAGCGGUGAAAUGCGUAGAGAUGUGGAGGAACACCAGUGGCGAAGGCGACUCUCUAGUCUGUAUCUGACGCUGAGGUGCAAAAGCGUGGGUAGCAAACA